RNAcentral lists this ribosomal RNA (1217 nucleotides) under uncultured Rhizaria. Its description in RNAcentral is "SSU rRNA". It matches the Rfam family "Eukaryotic small subunit ribosomal RNA", at positions 577 to 1805 of the family's 1831-position model. The record is from RNAcentral.
CGGUAAUUCCAGCUCCAAUAGCGUAUACUAAAGUUGUUGCAGUUAAAAAGCUCGUAGUUGGAUUUCUGUGGGGACGGAGCGGCCGGCCGCAACUUGCGGUUCGAGCUAGCGCUUUCCCUACAUCCUGCCGCGAACCGUGCUACCAUUAAUUUGGUGGCGCCGGGGAUCGGCUCGUUUACUUUGAGAAAAAUAGAGUGUUCAAAGCAGGCCACACGCCUUGAAUAAGUUAGCAUGGAAUAAUAAUAAAGGACUUCGGUUCUAUUUUGUUGGUGUUCGGGACUGAAGUAAUGAUUGAUAGGGACAGUUGGGGCGGUCAGUAUUCCAAAGCGAGAGGUGAAAUUCUUAGACCUUCGGAAGACUAACAGCUGCGAAAGCGUUCCGCAAGGAUGUUCCCUUUGAUCAAGAACGAAAGUUGGGGGAUCGAAGACGAUCAGAUACCGUCGUAGUCUCAACUAUAAACUAUACCAGCUAGGGAUCGGCCAACGUUAAAUUAUUCGACUUGGUCGGCACCUUAUGAGAAAUCAAAGCAUCUGGGUUCCGGGGGGAGUAUGGUCGCAAGGCUGAAACUUAAAGGAAUUGACGGAAGGGCACCACCAGCCGUGGAGCCUGUGGCUUAAUUUGACUCAACACGGGAAAACUUACCAGGUCCAGACAUAGUAAGGAUUGACAGAUUGAUAGCUCUUUCUUGAUUCUGUGGGUGGUGGUGCAUGGCCGUUCUUAGUUGGUGGAGUGAUUUGUCUGGUUAAUUCCAUUAACGAACGAGACCCCAGCCUGCUAAAUAGCACGGUUGAGCUUUGCUCGGCGCGAGCUUCUUAGAGGGACUAUGAUGCGCGACAGCACAUGGAAGUUUGGGGCAAUAACAGGUCUGUGAUGCCCUUAGAUGUUCUGGGCCGCACACGGGCUACACUGGCGCCUGCAACGAGCAUAUCAGCUGGCCCGAGAGGGUCUUGGCUAAUCUUUUGAACCGGCGCCGUGCUUGGGAUUGACCAUUGCAAUUGUUGGUCAUGCAACGAGGAAUGCCUUGUAAACGCGAGUCAUCAACUCGCAUUGAAUACGUCCCUGCCCUUUGUACACACCGCCCGUCGCUCCUACCGAUGAAUGUUCCGAUGAAAUUUUCGGAGAGCGCUUGUGAAGUUGGUUAUGCCUUCCGAACGAGAGGCUCAAAGUCACUUAAAUCUGAACAUUUCGAGGAAGGAGAAGUCGUAACAAGGUAGCCG